RNAcentral lists this ribosomal RNA (207 nucleotides) under uncultured bacterium. Its description in RNAcentral is "partial 16S ribosomal RNA". It matches the Rfam family "Bacterial small subunit ribosomal RNA", at positions 1296 to 1500 of the family's 1533-position model. The record is from RNAcentral.
GAUUGUAGUCUGCAACUCGACUACAUGAAGCUGGAAUCGCUAGUAAUCGCGAAUCAGAAUGUCGCGGUGAAUACGUUCCCGGGUCUUGUACACACCGCCCGUCACACCAUGGGAGUUGGCAACGCCCGAAGUCAGUGACCCAACCUUAACAGGAGGGAGCUGCCGAAGGCGGGGCUGAUAACUGGGGUGAAGUCGUAACAAGGUAAC